AGGGAAGGACCGACGGAUUUAAAAUAGAAUACGUGUGCAAACAGGGAGUAUUUGAUAAAAAAAAGUUCCUUAACUCGGACCACCUUGAGGCUCAGAAUGAUUUUCAAUUUCCCAUAUACCACCUUGAGGCCAUGAACAAAUUACUCGAAGAAUCCAAGAGGAUUCCGGCUGCCGGUGAUCUCGCUGCUGCUCAAAAAAAGCCUUCCGUUGAAAACAUUGCAGAGAGAGGAGAGAGAAAGUGUUUCCGGUGUUAAUGAAUACGGAUUACUAGCUUUCGUCCCUCAGUGCAUCAGAAUGAAGAUCAGUGGCAGUUUGGCAGUCAUAUAUCACACACAUUUUAAGAGGUUGAGAAUCAAACUGAAGGGCUUUAAGAUCAGGUGUUAAUGAAGACUAGAUAUCAAGAUUGUAUAAUACCCCCUCAAUACAUGUAAAUGAGUUUGGUGAAGCUUGCUCAUGAUCAAUAAUAGCUUGGCAGCUGGUUAUAUCACACACAUUUCAACAGGUCCAACUAUUUUUCAUGAAGAAUAGCUGGAUAAAAGUUACCGAAAUUACAGGACUCACUCGUCAAACUGGAAUUAAACUUUUGGUUGUAGCUAGCACAUGCUGCUGAAGUACUGAAUGACAGGACUCACUAAUUUGCUGCAUUGCUGCUGCUGAAGUACUGCUUUCUUUGGGAGUUGACAGACUGCUAAAUAAAGGCAAUCGGGUUGCAAGAAGCUUGUUACUGAUCGGAUGUAGCUUGGCAGCAACAUACAGAAAAAAGACAGCUGAGUGUUGGUUAUGCCUUGCUUCAAAAAUGUGCAGAUUGCUUAGAAAUUAAAGUUUACAGCGGGGCAGCUUUAACUCGGGUAUGCCUCCACAUAGCCUGUUGUUUCCAGUUAUCAAGACACCAGUUGCAUUGUUGAAGACUCCACCUGUAGGAACUCUAACGACUCGCAACUACCAAGAGAGCUUGGUAUAUGACCUGAUAUCAUGUUAUGUGAAACAUCAAGGCUGUCAAGAUUCUUCAAUUGUCCGACUUCUUCAGCAGGUUCUUAAUGAAUACGGAUUACUAGAUAGCUGUCAAGGAUCAUUCAAUCCUCCCUCAGUGCCUUUGUGAUCAGUGACAGUUUGGCAGUUAUGUUGGGCCCGUUGAUGCUGCUCAAAUACUGCUUUAUUUAGGAGUCGAAAAAAUCAUCUGUAUUUCUGAAAUGACGGACUGCUAAAUAAAGUGAAUAAGGAAGUAAGUCUUUUUGUUGAAGGGUCAGAAUCUAUGUUAAUGAUGAAGGAAGCUAAAAAUGAAGAUGAAGCUUAUGAUUUAUAUAAUGAAUAUGCUUUUAGUAAAGGUUUUGGUAUUAGGGUUGGGAAAGGUCGGAAGCGUCAAAACAGUGAACUUUAUACUAUGAAACGGUUCUUGUGUAGCUGCGAAGGGGUUAAAGAUGAAAAAAAGGAAGAGAACAAGAUCUUAUGCUAGAUUGGAUACGCGUACUGGGUGUACUGCUUUUGUUCAGUUUUCUAUUGGUAAAGAUGGUGUGUGGACGGUUGUGAAUCAUAAUAUGAUUCAUAACCAUGCUAUGGUUCCUCUAAAUAAGAGGCAUUUGAUAAGAUCACAAAGGAAGGUUAGUAAGGAGGCUCUUUACUUUAUGUCUACUUUAAAAGCUAGUGGUGUUAAAGUGUCUGAUACCUUGAGGGUUUUGAGGAAAGAAGUAGGCGGAUCACCUAUGGUCGGUUUUACAGCUAGUGGUGCUUAUAAUGCUUUAUCACGUGCAAAAGCUAAUAAACUUGAAGGUCAUGACUGUCAUCAGUUAAUCAAGUAUUUUGCUCAGAGAAAUUCCAGUGAAGAAGGUUUUUAUUAUGACUUUGAGCUUAGUGAAGAAGAGGGACUUUUAAGUUUCGUUUGGCGUGAUGGUAGGAUGAAGAGAGAUUAUGAUUAUUUUGGGGAUUUAUUGGUUUUUGAUACUACUUAUAGGACCAAUAAAUAUGAUAUGAUUUGUGCUCCUUUUGUUGGUAUGAACCAUCAUUCUAAUAAUGUUAUGUUUGGAAUGGGUUUUGUUAUCAAUGAAAAAACAGAAUCUUUUAAUUGGCUUUUUCAAACUUUCCUUACAUCAAUGGGUGGAAAUCCCCCAAUAACCAUUAUGACAGACCAAGCUCCAUCCAUUGUUGUCGGGAUAAGGAAUAUUUUUCCAGAUGCUAGACAUAGAUUAUGUACGUGGCAUAUUGGGGAAAAUUCAAAGAAGCAUAUUGGGCAGUAUAGAGCUUUAGAUGGUUUUUGUGACAUAUUCAAUUAUCUUCUGAAGUAUUGUGAAAUUGCUGCUGAAUUUGAAUAUCAUUGGCCAAGGUAAUUAAUUUGGAUUACUUAUUUACUUCAAAUUAAUAAAUAAUAUGUACUUGUAACCUUAUGAACAUCUACUUAUAAAGAAAUGAACAUUUUAGUAAUUCAUGUUAUUACUAAAUUAUAUGCUUUUCUUACUCUGAACAAACAGGUAUAUUCUAAUGAACAAAUUUGAUUUUUAUAGUGAACAUUUUGUUUUUCAGAAUGUUGACUCACUAUAAAUGCGUUGAAAAUCCAUGGUUGAAGAAUUUAUAUAUAAUCAGAGAGAUGUGGUGUCCUUCUUAUUCUAAGAACUAUUGGUCUGGUGGUGUGUUAUCAUCACAGCGUUGUGAAACUACCAACAAGUCAGUUUCCCAUCGACUUGAUAAGACACAAGGAUUAUAUGAUUUUUAUCAUGUUUUUUUGGAUGUUAUUUCUGAGUGGAGGAGCAAAGAGAAUGGUCAUGACUACAGAAAUUGGAAAGGUAGACCAGAAGUUGCAGCUGCAAUUUGCGGAAUUCUUCUUCAUGCGAGAAAGAUUUACACUAUAGAAGCAUAUGUUUUGUUUGAAGAACAAUUUCUUAAAUGGAUGGCAUGUUCUCAAGAAGAAAAACGCGGAAACACAGCUACAGAGAAAAGUUAUUAUGUGUGAAGGCCUAAAAAAGACUUGAUUAAACAUGAAGUUUGGUUUAACCAAGAGACUUUUGCAGUGGAUUGUACUUGUCAGUACUUUACUGAAAUGGGUUUUUUAUGUUCUCAUGCGCUUCGUGUUUAUCAUGUGCAUUGUGUCCCAGAGAUUCCCAAUCUUUAUAUAUUGAAGAGGUGGACAAAAGCGGCUAUGUGCAGUCAUUUGGUUGAAGAUGAUGGUGAAAAGUCCAAUAUAGUUGCGGCUUCUGUUUGGAGGGCACAAACCCUUAGGAAUUUUGUUAAGCUUGUUAUGUCUAGUCAAGGUUCUCUUCAAGCUAGGGCUGAGGUUGAUUCUGCCUUUGGUCUUUUAAAAGAAAAAGUGGAGAGUAUUAGGGGUACUAUUGAUUUUUCUGAUCCUAAAGAGGGGGAAGAUAUCUUUGUGCCCUUAGUAAAAAAAACCACAGAAUUUAAGUAAAAAGGGUGAGAGGAAUGACAGAUUGAAGAGUACAGUUGAGAAAAAUCUACAAUAAAGCUAAAGGGAAUUGGAGGAGAAGAAAAGCAAAAUUUACAGAUGCAACAAGGUUUAAGGCUCAAUCUACAGUCAUGGAGUUGGAUGAAGUUGGUGCCCCUGUGCUUUUCUCUAAUUCUCUUAAUGACUCAUCUGAUCUAGUUGUACUAGAUCCUUCACUAUUUCAGGUUGAUGCUUCUUUUCCGAAGCCACCUCCAAAAUAUUUUAGAAGAGGUGCAGCUGUUGAUAAAAAUGUAGAAUCAUCGGACAAGGAAAAUAAUUCAACAAAUGAAACCUCAAAUGAUUCAUAUGUUCAUGGAAGUACUAAAACCGAUGCAUGUACAAAAGUUAAUGCACCAUCGGCUACUAAAGCACCAUCGGCUACUAAAGCACCAUUGGCUACUAAAGAAACAUCAGCUACUAAAGCAAAAAAGGAUAAGCAGAGAUAUGAGUAUGAUAUCAGGAAUGCAUUUGACUUGGGACUUUCACCAUCACCGAUGGUUACUAAAGCUCCAUCUUGUACUGAAGCUAAAGUUCAAGGACCUAUUCGUGCUUCAAAAAUUAUUCACGUAGUACCUAAAGUUCAAGGAUCUAUUCAGGCUGAAAAAAUUACUCAAGUUGGACCUAAGGUUCAAGGACCUAAAGUUUCAUUGGUUACUAAACCUCCGUUAGGUACUAAAGGAUCUCAUCAAUCUGCUAUUGAUCAAGCUUAUUUGAAAUUUAAGUAUGAUGCAUUUUUAGCUCUUUUUGAUGAAUCAAUGGCUGCUGAAAAAACCAUUAAAAGUCAAGGAUUUAGUAACUUGAUUAUUGAGUUGAAAAUUUGUACGUGCAUUUAUUUGUACUGAAUCUUUUUGUGUUUGAACAUUUAGUUUUAAUAGAUUGAACAUU
Spinacia oleracea (spinach) is the source of this 4312-nucleotide RNA transcript. RefSeq lists it as uncharacterized. NCBI's taxonomy places the organism in Eukaryota, Viridiplantae, Streptophyta, Magnoliopsida, Caryophyllales, Amaranthaceae. The transcript is spliced from 10 exons. The record is from RefSeq and is a predicted model, not a curated record.